AGCAGCCGCGGUAAUUCCAGCUCCAAUAGCGUAUAUUAAAGUUGUUGCAGUUAAAAAGCUCGUAGUUGAAUUUCGGGAUCAAUUGAUUGGUCAUGCCUACGGUAUGUACUAGUCAUAUUGGUUCUCACCUUCUAAUGAACCUUAAUGUCAUUCACUUGAUGUUUUGGGGAAUUAGGACUGUUACCUUGAAAAAUUAGAGUGUUUAAAGCAGGCUUACGCUUGAAUACAUUAGCAUGGAAUAAUGAAAUAGGACAUCGCAUUCUAUUUUGUUGGUUUCUAGGAUCGAUGUAAUGAUUAAUAGGGAUAGUUGGGGGCAUUAGUAUUCAAUUGUCAGAGGUGAAAUUCUUGGAUUUAUUGAAGACUAACUACUGCGAAAGCAUUUGCCAAGGAUGUUUUCAUUAAUCAAGAACGAAAGUUAGGGGAUCGAAGACGAUCAGAUACCGUCGUAGUCUUAACCAUAAACUAUGCCGACUAGGGAUCGGAUGAUGUUAAUUUUUAAAUGUA
Molecule: small RNA, 504 nt
Filed under: uncultured Entrophospora
Lineage: Eukaryota; Fungi; Glomeromycota; Glomeromycetes; Entrophosporales; Entrophosporaceae
Description: SSU rRNA
Rfam family: Eukaryotic small subunit ribosomal RNA
Source: RNAcentral